UCUAUGGCAACAGAAGAUGAUGCCAUAAACACAGGACUCUGCAAUCUGUGCUGGCUCCGAUGGAAGGAGAGGCAGGGCCGAGAGCUCUAAUUUCAACACAAAUGUCUCUAAUAACAGCAAGAUGAAUCCAGAAAUUUGCUGGCAAAGGAAAGGACUUUAGGUAUAAACAUUUUGUCUUCCAAGUUGUGCUCCAAUGGGAAAUUCCCUCCUGAAAGUCCUCCUUUAAAUACUGCAUAAAAGGCAACCGCUGAAGAAAGAAAAAGACAGUCUAGCUGGAGAGAUGUGAAAUGAGGAGGAAGUAUUCAACCAACUCUACUAUUAUUAUUCUCUCUUCACUGGAGACUUCAGGACACUUCAUCCUAAAUCCAAGUUAUCUUUGUCAUCCAUCCCUAGUAGCAAUUUAAAUAGCAGGUUGUUUCAUAUCCAUGUGUAUCUGUUUUUGAAAUCUGCCCACUCACCAAAUUAUUGACCAAACUGUAUGUAACAGGGUCCCGAUUCAGUAUAGAUCUUAAGAACAAGGCUAAUCAUAAGCAUGUGCGUAGUCCUACAGACUUCAUAUGCCUGGUGAACUAGGGUGAGGAAUCUCCGAGUUCAAUGCAACUACUCACGUGCUUAAGGACUUGCUGAAUAGGGGGUCUACACCCUCUGUUAUUCCAGCUCGUGAAUGUGUUGUCUUGAAUGUACAUGCUACAAUGGAGAGCUAUCGGACAGUAACUAUGCCAUGUCAAUGUCCUAAACUAUUAAAGACCUGAAGAUGAUGAUGCGCUUUUAACGUUUCACAUAAACAUUUGGGAUUUGAAGAACUUUCAGCUCUCCCAAGGAAGUCAGAAUAAAUGCUUACAUGGGGGAUAGGGGAAAACCCCCCCAACAACCCUGAAUUAAAUUUUUGAACUUGACACCCUCCACUUUCCUACAUGUUGCUCAACUCUA
Molecule: long non-coding RNA, 930 nt
Organism: Mauremys mutica (yellowpond turtle)
Lineage: Eukaryota; Metazoa; Chordata; Testudines; Geoemydidae
Exons: 3
Source: RefSeq, a predicted model, not a curated record